Molecule: small RNA, 28 nt
Filed under: Bombyx mori (domestic silkworm)
Lineage: Eukaryota; Metazoa; Arthropoda; Insecta; Lepidoptera; Bombycidae
Description: ovarian small RNA-23802
Source: RNAcentral
UAUCUGUGGUAACCCCUUGUGUUCCAGG